This 1394-nucleotide long non-coding RNA is filed under the name Capsicum annuum. Its description in RNAcentral is "long non-coding RNA (CANN_LNC020886)". Lineage: Eukaryota; Viridiplantae; Streptophyta; Magnoliopsida; Solanales; Solanaceae. The record is from RNAcentral.
ACAAACAAAAUUACAACCCACUUGUCUUUUAACUUGAGAAGCUUUAGAAAUUGAUAAGGAAAGUGAAUUGAAAGUUCAACUAGUAACUCUGCUCCUGAAAAAUGAAAAUCCAUAUCAGUAAAUAAGAUCAAAACAAUAAAAUGCAUUCAGAAAAAUCUUGACGACUUUACGAUGUUCCAGAACACGGUAAACUUACAUAUUUUGAUUUCAAUAAAUUAUCUUUUGCUUGGGUACAGAAAGAAGAAACCACAUUUUAUCAUAAAUUGGAGUAGAGUAAUGAAGAAAAUACAUACUUCUUGUAAAAAUUGAGAAAUUGAGGAGAUCGACUCCAUUGCAGAGAAAAUACAAGAGGUUAAAAGAACUAUUGCAAUUGACAUAGAAGAUGAAGAUGUUGAGACAGAAAUAUCAAUCAGAAACACCAAAAAGUUUGGAGAUGACACCGAUUACAUAAUAACUUAUAAAAGAGUCAAAAUUGAAAGGAAUUAGGAGAUUUUUAAGUAUAAAGAUUAUAAACUCAAAUAUUUUCGUUAAUAAGGUUCAACCAAUUGGCUGUGGUAAAGUAAUGCAUCGUUUAUGACAAUAAUGCUCAAUAUAUGUGUAGCAACACUUUCCCUAAAUACAAGACUUUAAUGCUAGACAUUAUGCAACUGGAUGUCUUCCCCUAUCACGUAGAUACUGGAUCCUAUCCACGCAUACUCAGAAAGAAAUUUGUGGCCUUUGAGUUGGCAGGAUACUCAAUUGAUGUUAUGAAACACAAUGCAAGAACCAAAUAUUUCACAAGGAAUGUAAAACUAAUGCAUAAUAUGGUACAGUAUUAUGAAGUUUCUUGUACUUCAACAAUAACAACAGCAUACCCAGUGUAAUCCCACUGGGUGGAGAUCUGUAUAGGGUAGAGUAGAGUAUACAUAGACCUUACCCUCAGAGAUACAGAGGUUGCUACAAACACACACUCGAAAUCUAUAUGCACAUUGAAAGUUCCUGCUUCAACUUUACUUCCUCUUUUGGUAGCCGGUAUUCGAAUAAUUCAACUAUUGAGAUCAAGAUCUCAAAUGUACCGUGCGCAAUUAAGAAGGCACAUAAGAAGUUGUCAAAUCUCGUUAUUUAAUUUGUGACAACCUGAGAAUAUCAGAAGAUAGAUAAUCUGUUGACGAAGAAUCACAUUGGGGGUAUCAAGUUCUUCAAAUCUAUGCACGCAACCAAGAAGGCGUUUUUGAUUACUCUGAGAGUGUCGACUUCACUGUUGAAAAUUUAUAGGUGGAUCCGCUUUAUUGAUAAUCCUCUUCUUUGUGUGAUGUUAAUCAGUAGGUAACUGGUGCAAAGUUGUUUAGAAAAGGAGCUUUAUUGAAUAUUAGACAACCGAAUAGGACCAUGAUAUUCUCAAGUUUCUAAUUGAG